GGUGGCUCAGUGGUAGAGCACUUGCCUUGCAUGCCUGACGCCCUGGGUUCAAUUCUCAGUACCA
RNAcentral lists this transfer RNA (64 nucleotides) under Dipodomys ordii (Ord's kangaroo rat). It matches the Rfam family "tRNA". From Rfam's summary of the family: Transfer RNA (tRNA) molecules are approximately 80 nucleotides in length. Lineage: Eukaryota; Metazoa; Chordata; Mammalia; Rodentia; Heteromyidae. The record is from Rfam by way of RNAcentral.